UACGUAGGGGGCGAGCGUUGUUCGGAAUUACUGGGCGUAAAGGGCGUGUAGGCGGUGCGGUAAGUCGGGCGUGAAAUCCCCGGGCCUAACCCGGGGCGGUCGUUCGAAACUGCCGUGCUAGAGUGCAGGAGAGGGAAGUGGAAUUCCUGGUGUAGCGGUGAAAUGCGUAGAUAUCUGGAGGAACACCGGUGGCGAAGGCGGCAUCCUGGACCGGUAUUGACGCUGAGGCGCGAAAGCUAGGGGAGCAAACGGG
Molecule: ribosomal RNA, 253 nt
Filed under: uncultured bacterium
Lineage: Bacteria
Description: partial 16S ribosomal RNA
Rfam family: Bacterial small subunit ribosomal RNA
Source: RNAcentral